UCAUAUUCUAAGCCAUCCAAACAAUAAUGGAUGCUUCCAAACAUCGUAGGAAGCAUCCACAAAGACUGCCUGCAUCCAUCCAUUUUCUCCUAAUAGAUCACAAUUAAGUUAAUAGAACACAAAAAUGGAAUGUUGAGGUAAGUGGACUCAGUUGUGCAUGAUUACACAAAUAUUAAAAUGGUUUAUAUUUUAACCAGAAUAAAGGCAUUGUUAAAUUCAUCAACUUUAUGCAAGCACACGCACAUAAUCUUUUCAGACAUAUGAAAUCCACUGAAGUCAGAAUUUCUUUCAUACAAGAGAUUCUAUACUCCAUCCAGCACAUCAUUCUAUAUCUCAAUUUUCAUAAUGAAUAAACCCACUGAUAAAAAUAUAAAUGUAGUAGUGUCAGCAUAAACUUGAAGUGACUAAUUCCUUCAUGCACCUAAUAGCAAUACAUUUUCAGUGUACAAUACAGUACACUUCAAACUUCCUCCUUUAUCCAUAAUGAUUCUCCACUCCAUGAACUGUUUUUAUGAAGCAGCACAAAACCAAUAAAAAGGUUUGUGCAUCAAAACCCAAUAUCUGCUGUCCACUACUCUCAAAGGUAAGUGUGCAGAUGUCUACAUUAGUUUCAAAAUGGUUUAGUUGUGUAAACACUAUUUAUCAAGCAGUGAAUAUUCCAUUAAUGUAUUUUCAGAUUUCUGCAAUAUGCUACACUUCAAACUUCCUUAUCCAUAAUGAUUCUCCACUCCAUUAACUGUUUUUAUGAAGCAACACAAAACCAAUUAAAAAGGUAAAUUCCAUUGCAUGAUGUCUGCAAAUCUCGAAUUGACAUUUCUUCAAGCACUGCUUCACCUAAUAGCAAUACAUUUUCAGGUUUGUGCAUCAAAACUCAAUAUCUACUGUCCACUACUCCCAAAAGGUGAGUGUACAGAUGUCUACAUAAAGUGCUAAAUGGUCUAGUUGUGCAAACACUUGAAUUAUCAAGCAGUUAAUGUUCCAUGAAUGUAUUUUCAGAUUUUUGCAAUUCACUACACUUCAAACUUCCUUCUCCAUUAUAUGAUUCUCUGCUCCAUGAACUGUUUUUAUGAAGCCACACAAAACCAAUAAAAAGGUAAAUUUAAUUCCUAUAAUAUCA
This is a long non-coding RNA of Cyprinus carpio (common carp), 1117 nucleotides long. The record is from Ensembl. NCBI's taxonomy places the organism in Eukaryota, Metazoa, Chordata, Actinopteri, Cypriniformes, Cyprinidae.